CCUACGGGAGGCAGCAGUGGGGAAUAUUGCACAAUGGGGGAAACCCUGAUGCAGCGACGCCGCGUGAGUGAAGAAGUAAUUCGUUAUGUAAAGCUCUAUCAGCAGGGAAGAAAAUGACGGUACCUGAGUAAGAAGCCCCGUCUAACUACGUGCCAGCAGCCGCGGUAAUACGUAGGGGGCAAGCGUUAUCCGGAUUUACUGGGUGUAAAGGGAGCGUAGACGGCAGUGCAAGUCUGGUGUGAAAGGCGGGGGCUCAACCCCCGGACUGCUGUGGAAACUGUACGGCUGGAGUACAGGAGAGGUAGGUGGAAUUCCUAGUGUAGCGGUGAAAUGCGUAGAUAUUAGGAAGAACCCCGGUGGCGAAGGCGGCUUACUGGACUGUAACUGACGUUGAGGCUCGAAAGCGUGGGGAGCGAACAGGAUUAGAUACCCUGGUAGUC
RNAcentral lists this ribosomal RNA (440 nucleotides) under uncultured bacterium. RNAcentral describes it as "partial 16S ribosomal RNA". It matches the Rfam family "Bacterial small subunit ribosomal RNA", at positions 338 to 795 of the family's 1533-position model. The record is from RNAcentral.